CGAAUUCCCCGCAGUAGUUGGGCGCCGAGAAGAGCGUCACCAGCUGACGUUUGGCGAAGAACUCAUAACCGUCCUCCACUACCUGAUGAGCCCGACAGAUCAGGUCAAAUUCGUGCUUCUGUAAAAAUUUACCCACAACCUGCAAGAGCGAAUGCAUAAACAACAUUGUGGCGAACAGUGUAAUGCGAAGAACCCACCUCUGCUCCAAAUGUGAAGCUCACGCCGCGAUCAUUCUCGCCCCAGCCCAUGGUAUCCUUAUCCGGAUCCGACCACAGCAGAUCGCACAGCAGUCCCUGAUCGGGCACGUCUGUGGGACGCAUGAUGCGUCGUAUCUGCUCCAUGGACGACAGAUCUGGACUCAGGCCACCGUGGCAGCAGAAGAUCUUCUCAUCCACGAUGGCGGCCACCGGCAGGCAGUUGAAGCAGUCCGUGAAAGUUUUCCACAGCUUGAUGG
Non-coding RNA from Drosophila melanogaster (fruit fly), 454 nucleotides. NCBI's taxonomy places the organism in Eukaryota, Metazoa, Arthropoda, Insecta, Diptera, Drosophilidae. The record is from Ensembl.